Long non-coding RNA from Marmota monax (woodchuck), 14164 nucleotides. RefSeq lists it as uncharacterized. Lineage: Eukaryota; Metazoa; Chordata; Mammalia; Rodentia; Sciuridae. The record is from RefSeq and is a predicted model, not a curated record. The transcript is spliced from 4 exons.
UAUACAUCCUGCCUUGAAGCAGUGAUCAGAAGGCGAGAAACUAUGGGUUGGAGGUGAUCUUGUCCUAGGUAGCGAGUCCUUUGAGCAAUACUUGGCUAUUAUGCACCAGGAAGGCCACCUGGAUGAUGACUUAAACUUUUCUAGAUCUCAGCAUGAAGAAACAUGCACAGACCAAGUCAUCUGGAGCAAUGUCUCACUUUUCAGUAGAUUUAUAAGGAGCCUGGAUGCUCUCAUCAAGAAAGCGAAGACUCCUGAGACCAACCUGCCCAUAUAGUUGGUGAGCCUGAGUCUGCAGGAUAUCAACUGUUCCUUCCACCCUCCUGAUGAGCACUUGGAGCAUGAGGACAAACUGAACAGUUUGCAUGCCCUGAAGAAUUGGCAGAACCUCUUCUGGGGAGAGCGGCUCUAAUUACAGAAAAUUGUAAAAACAGCUCAAUUUUCUGGUUCCUUUGACUGGCUGAUCAACAGACUGGAAAGACUAGAAGCUUCCACUAGUAUGUUUUCCCGUUCUCUUCUUAAUGAGAGGUAUUUUUCCUGUUUUCUGUUGCUCUAUGCCCUUGGAAGACAAACUGAUAUUCUAUGUUUUCUUCUUUUAAUUGGUAAAGAUUCUAAUUUGUUGGUUGGAUCAUUAGUAUUAUUUUUAAUCAUUUCUGAAUACCAAUUGAACAGUAUCCUUCCUGUCCAUUUCCACUUUUAAAAGAAGUCGUGUUAUGAGUCCAGAAAGCCACUGCAGAGCUGGAGUUCUCAUUCUUUCCCGUGACUCUAAAGGACUUGAGAAGCAGAAAGAUGGGGAGGGGAUUCUUUUUUCCACUUUUGAUCAAAAAAUUAUUUUGAUAGUUUUGUGGAGAGAAUUAUUUGGAUAGUUUCCCAAAUUACAUAGCACAACAUUUCAAUUAAGAGGAAUUUAGUAAAUAUUAAUGAACACUCUGUGUAAUGGGAAAGUAAUUACUGGCAACCUGAUCCAUGCAUCUUUAAUUGGCUAGUUUUAUUCUGGUGUAUUGGGGACUUUUCCAUGUUGCCAGGCUGGCUAGGAGGGGAACUGGAAGCAGGAAGGGGCAGAGCACUCACUAGGUUCUCUAGUCUAGGGGAUUGGAUGUCAAAACCUGAGAUAUGGAGACACAUGGAAAGAAAAUUAUGAGAUCCAGGGAAUGAGGUCACCUAGAAGGUCUGAUGAUCCCUACCACCCAUCUUUUUUUUUAUCAUCCUUUUCCUUUAAUUCAUCUCCCUUUCACUCCACUGUUAUAUUCUGUACAUUCUGUACCUACAAUUGAAGACAGGUGACAUUGCUAAUUAAUAAUUACCUCCAACUUUAAACGGCAGUAGGCAGACCCCUCACCUCUAUUUCUACAAAGCAGUAAUACCUUCUCAGCAUUCACAUUACCCUGAGUAAUUUCUAGAGUCCUUGGAAGUACUUCCAGUCAUUUUCCCACUAUCUCAUGGAUCUUGGUUCCUGUCAUUCCUGUUGCUCAUAGAAAUAAGCAGAUGCAAGGGGAAGAAAGCUAAGCGGGAGCUUCUGCCUCCAGCCUGGGAGAUGGAGAAGGCUGUGGGAGUGGCAGGUGCUCCAGAACCUCCCCUGUGGGGCCAGUGGCUUGGCACACACAGCUUAGUUUGUCCCGACUAUGGAAAUGUUUUUCCUAAGUCUCUUCCAACUUGGUUUUCUGUCGAUAUCUGGGACCACGGGCAGUCAGUCUUAGAAAGUUAAACUGCAAACCUAGCCGUGAAACCAGAGGGCAUUAAGCUGUGAGGGAGGUGUCCAUUGUCUCAUUUAGCUCCUUCUGAGAAUUUUUAGUUUUAGAAGCUGAAAAACACAAUUCUCAAAAUCUGAAUGUCACAUAGGACUCGGGAUGCCUGGCUGUCCCUUUCUGGUCUUUGCUUUACAAAGAAAGCAUUCCUUGAGGACAAGCAGCUUCUUCCUUGGCUCUGCCUUCAAAAAAGAUGCAUAAAAGCUGCACACAGUAGAUGGGAGAGUCACAGAAUGGAAGGAAUGGGGUCAUGAUGGCACCAGUGUGCUGUGGACUUUACCGCCCCUUCUGGUGUUUGUCAGAGAUCUAGAUGUUCCUUCUCCUUCUAAAAACACUAUGCUAAACACCAUGUUUGCAGAAUUAUUCUUAGGAUAUAUUGUGUCUACUACAAGCAACUUUGUGAGAAUCUAAUUGAAAUUAUUGAGGUCCAGAUUUCUUCAUUAAUCAGCACUAUGUGCCAGGUAGUGUUUUAUGUGCCUUAUAAAUACUAAUUAUUUAAUUCUCAUGAUGACCUUAUGGGUAGGUGCCAUUAUUUCCCCCAGAUCUGUGAUGAGGAAACUACAGAUGAGGCUCAGGGAAAUUUAAUAACUGGACAAAGAUAGCCAGCCCUUGGGUCCUGACAAUCUGGUGCCACUUUCCUUGAUCUCAACUGUCCUGUGACAUUUUUUUUGUUGUUGAGUAUGACACUAUGAAUGGAGAUAAAAGUAUGUACAAUUAUACUGAUACGGUAUUCUCUUGUGUUCUGGUUCAGCUUUCUUUUUCUAUGUUAUCACACAAACUCAAGUUUCUAAGUAACCCUCAUGGCCUUCUCUUGAUCUUGUUUUCCAUGAUCUUCUUGGUGCAUUCUUAAAUGCCUAAAUUAUAUUUGCUUAUAUAAAUACCACUUGUGAGAAAUGAUCAGAAGCCCCAAAGUGAAGACCUAAGGAAAAAAGGGGGGUGUAAUGAAAUCAUUUAUAGCAGAAGUGGCAGUGGAAACUAUAGGGAGACACAAUGGAGUCACCAAGGGACGUUUUAAAAAAUUUUAUUGCAAAUGGAGAAAUUAUAAUUCCAUAUAUUUAUGGGAUAAAAAAUGAUAAUACAUAUGCACAAGAGAAAGUAUUCAUUCAAGCUAAUAAAUAUAUCCAUAAUCUCAAAUACUUUUUCUUGUGGUGAUAACCUUUGAAACUUACUCUGAGAUUUUGAAAUAUAUCCUAUUAUUACCAUAUUGUAUUCAUCAUAUUGUACAAUAGAUCUCACAUACCUAAUUCCUCUUGUCUAACUGGAAAAAGUUCCAGUUUUCCAUGGCUUGAGUCCCAUUGGAAGUUGACCUUGAAAUAAGGUUCAAGGGCAAGGUUUUUGGGACAUGAGAACAUGAGAUAGGCAAAGGGCCUAAGAGACUGUGUUAAGGAGUGAGUCACCGUAGUGUGUGAUGGGAGCUUCUUUUCACCAGGGAAAGAAGAAAUCAUGUGCCUUAGUCUUCCCACUCAAUGGGCUGGGGUAUUAAGUUGUGCUACUCCCAGAGGGUGACUGUUCCAGGGCCCCCAGAUUUACUGUGAUUAGAGCAAAUCUUGAAGCAAAGAAGUCCAGGAUUUGGUAGUUGGAAGGGAGGUGGCAUGCCCUAGGUGGGCAGAUGACGAUUGACACUGAAUCCUGCCAUGGUGACUCCCAGCCAGCUCCUCUUUCUCUCAUGUGAUGGCUUGGCUCAGAAAAGGCAGCUGAACAGCACUUUACUUUUUGAGUCAGAUUCUGCAACAUCAACAGUUGAUCAGGGUCUCUAGCACAUAAAGCUGUGGUAGAGUAUCUGAUCAGUUUAUAAAGAACAACCCCUUGGGGGAAUGAAAAAUAAAUUAUUUAUUGUCCCAGUCUUCAUGUGUGACUAUGACUAAAGUUAGUUGAAAAGACACAGAUUGGUCUGAGGAAGUAUGGUUGACAGAGUUGAUGCAUUUCUGAAGGCCAGGCUUUUCUGGAGGGUUCCCAGCCUUUCAAAUGCUAAUUGAGAUCAAGCAAGAGCUGAUGAGGGUGUCAGCUAGUCAGGAGAGGCAGACUCUUGGCACCUCUUGUUUCUUUUUUUAAAAUUUAUUUAUUACAUUCAUGAUAAUAGUGGAAUGCAUUACAUUCAUAAUUAUCCAUUCAUAGCACAAUAUUCAUAACUCUGUAUAUAAAGUAUGUUCACGACAAAUUGUGCCAUUAUACAUGAGCUCUCUUUCUCUCUCUCUCUCUCUCUCUCUCUCUCUCUCUCUCUCUCUCUCUCUCUCUCUCUCUCUCUUUCUCUCUGCAUUAGAUCUUAUUUCUUGUGCAGUCUAUUUCCCACACAGCUUUGCAGUGCUGCAAGUGGAUUUUCCAGGGGGAAGCCUGUGAAUUCCUCCCAACAUUUAAUAAAGUGUAAGCUUAACUAAACAAAGGAACUGAAUGUUUUCCCAUUUUUCUAUUAAAAAUGUUCUGUGUCAUUUGGGGUUUACUUUUGGGGUAUUUCCCACACACACACAUUUUACAAUGCAGGUGGAAUAUAGCAAAAUACAGGAAGCCCUCCUAAUUGAGACUCUAUUUUCUGACUUCUUUUUCUUUCCAGCUAUAACUUACUGUUUGGCCCAGGAAGGAAGCAGGAGCAGGCCUGUAUGCACACUUUUCUAGCCACACUUACACUUAAAGAUACUCUCUUGGUGUAAGCAGAGUCUUUGGAGCAGCCAGACACGAAAGCUUUCUGCUCUUACACAGUAUGAUUGAAGUACCUGUAAAUAGGUUAGGUUAUCCCAAACUGAAGUUGUCACAACCUUUUCUUACAGAAUUUAAGCUCCUCAUUUUCCAAAGACAAAAAGUGUAUAAUAAUCUGUCCCAGAACCUUGUGUCCUAGGAGUGCCUUUUCCUUGACCUCCAGUUUGGUGUAAGCUACUGAGUUGGAAAGAGGUAUGUUCAUGGGUUAUGGUUUGAGUUCCACUGUUUCUGGUGAAGAAAGCACAGCAAGCUGACUUGAGUGACAUCAGCAAUUGAGGCAGCACCCUGAUAACAGAGAAAGAGACAGUAAGCCAGGAGAUGGCCCUCAAAAAGACAGUAUGAGCUUUGGAUUUCCUGGAAAGUCAGCUGUGCUGAACCUGAGAGACCCAUGCCCUUGAACCAAGGAGAAAAACUAAAUCAGAAUCAUCAUGAUUUUGGAGGCUUUCUAAAGAAAAUCUUUCAUGAUGGCUGUUAAGGUGAGUACCUAUUUAGCUGUAGGACUCCACACCAUCAUCAUCCACAGCACCCACAGCUCACCUGUAUCACAUCAUGGUCAUUGUUGUUUUAUAUAAUGAUCCUAAGUCAUUCACAUCCAGACAUGCGAGUGAUGUUUUAUGUUCACAGAUCACUUGUCAAGGCAGGGAAAUUUUGCUUUCGUUUUAAGAUAUAUCCAUUCUAAACAUUUGAAAUAAAAUAAAUAAUUAAAAUUUACUCAUUUAGUGGUUAGUCAAUUGUCAAAAAUUAAGCAUCUUUAAGUGAGGCUGGAAAAAUGUGCAAGCAGCCAUGCUCCUGUUUCCUUUCUCCCGCAAGCAGUAAGUUGUAGCUGGAAAGAAAAGAAGUGAGAAAAUAGUCUCAAUUUGGAGGGCUUCCUGUAUCUUGCUGUAUUUUUCCAGCAAUGUGAAAUGGGGGAUGGUCCCCAAAAGUAAAUUCCAAGCGACACAGAUGUUUUUAGUAGAAAAAUGGAAAAACAUUCAGUUCCUUUGUUAUUUGAAAUCUUUUCUUCUUGUCAGAAUGCUUUUCUCAAAGCCUGGGUAUGAUGAGAUAACAAAUUACAGUUCUAGGAAAUGUUCAUUCCAAAAAGUUUUGAGCUAUUUCCACAUUGGAAAAAUAUUUUAAUCCUUUAUGAUAUAUCAUUGGGUAAUUUUGUAGUCAUUUUCCCUGGGUACCUUCUCAAGCAUAUUUCUCAUGUCAAAUAAUAGACACCAGAAGUUGCUCAUGUCCUUUCAAAUUUUAGAGACAGAGACAGUCCUGGAUGGCCUGGUUUCUGGAUGGUGGCUCCUUGGGUUAGUUAAUGAUUUACAAGACCUUUCACUUCCGUAACAUGUUUUGUUAAUAAAUAGUAUUUCAGUUUUAGAGAAGGUAUUUAAUUUUCCGUAUACUCUUACCACAUCCUUUCACAUUUUUGGCUUGUUUUAAAUUCUGCCUCAUUGGUACUUUCUGUGAUUCUUUGAUGGUAAUUGUGCUGACAGGUUUACCUUGUGUGGCCAGGGAGCUUGCAUUGUCCUGAAGUGUUAGCUGCUGAUAGGUCCUACUGAGGAAGGGCAUGAGGCCAGGUCUGAGAACCCAUGGACACUAUAGUGCAGAACCCUCCAGAUCUGCCAGUAUGGCAGAAACUGGUAGCUCAGAGAGGAGCCUGAUCUGACUGAGGCAGACUGGUGAUUUUGUAUCAACGAGCUUCUCAGGGUUUGAUAAGCAGGUGUGGACCAGGGAAUGUCUGAGGGCAGGUGGUCCCCUGGCUCCUAUUUCUUCUUGUGCUGUCUUGACACUAUUCUACCCUGCACUGCAUCCUAGGCUACUACUACACUGCAGAUUUUGUAGAAGGUCAGCAGUGGCCAGCCUAUGGGGACAAGUCCACCUUAGCUGUUUCCAGCUGUCUCGUUGUCCUAUUCUCUCUCCAGGAUGCAGCCACCUUGUCCUGCCAGGCCCUAAUCCAGGGGAGCUUUUGUUUCCUAGAGUUUUUUUUUUUUUUUUUUUUUUUUUGUGUGUGUGUGUAUCUUUGUGUUGGGGGGACAAUUCCUGGAAUCCACAUUUCUGUCCUGCUCCCUUCCAUUCACCAGGGUUGUGCUGGAUCCAGGUUACCUGUAGCCUGCUCAGGUUCACCACUUGUUGCUGAUUUUAUUUCUUCUUGCACAGCCCUUCAGUGGGACAUUCAUACAGUCUUGGUGAGCCCGAGGAAUAAAGAGGAAGUCUUGUCUCAGGACAAGACAUGGGAUCCAGGGAGUCUCACUUGGGAACACUGCUGAUUAGAAAACAAGAUCACAGAUGGUGAUUUCACAUUCCUCCUGGCCUGUUUUUAGUCCUGUGGGAGGCUGAGGUGGUGUUUUCUUGUUAGGAAUAGAGAUGACGCUGCUGACUGAUGGCUGUUUAUUGCCACUGUGUGGCUUGGCUGGGUUGACUGCUGCUACUCUGGUUAUUAAUGAAUCCUACCAUGACCCUUCAUCAGGUAACUGCACUGGGUCACUUGCCUUUUAGUCGUGCUUCAUGUGAAGUGUCUGUGGCCUGGUCGAGGUGCAUCAGAGUAUCCUUUUGAAGAACUGAUCAAUCUGCAUUGUCUUUGCUCUGGACAGUUCAUCUUAAUGAUGCUCACAUGCACAUGGCUUUUAAAAUUCAUUUAAGGGGCUUCAGACCAUGUUUUCCAUCUGCCAGCCUUUUUGUGGAUUUUGCCCUUCAGAGGAAGACUUGCAGUCAUUAAAGUUUUGCACAUUUUAGUAACUGCCUAUGUUUUCAUUGCACAGCGAAGGAAAUCUUAAAUGGAUUUAUGUACUAUGCUGAGAAUGUUGUGUAAUUGGAGAAUCCCUAAUCCAAAAGUCAGGAAUCUGAAAUGCUCCAAAUCCAAAUUCUCACAAGCACCAAUAUAGCACCACAAGUGGAAGGCAGGACACCUAACUUCAUAUGACAAAGCAGUCAGAACACAGGCAUAGGACACACCUUAGCUAGCAUCCCUGAGGGGAACAACACCUCUCACACUCACUUGUGGGGCAGACUUUAGUUGCUUGUGCAAAAUUAUUUGAAAUAUCAUAUGGAAUUACCUUCAGGCUGUGUGUAUAAAGUAUAUGUGAAAUACAAAUCAAUUUCAUGUCUAUACUUUGGUCUCAUCUCAAAGACAGCUCAUAAUGUAUAUGCAAAUAUUUCCAAAUAGGAAAUACUUCUAGUCCUAAGCAUUUUGGGUAAGGAUUACACCACUGAGUUCCCACAGUGUUGCUAUUAGUUGGAUUCUGUUAUUAUUUCCACUUUACAGAUGAAGCACACGAGGCCAUGCAUCUUACAGAUUACUCUUUCAAGAUCCAAGUAUGUCCUGGAGCUGGGAUUGAACUUAUGUGCUUCAUGAAUUGGUCUGUGUUACAGAAAUCAAGCAAAAUGCACAUUGUUUCUUGUACUUUUCUCUUUCUCUGAUUAUUUGUUGAAAAUGUUAACAACUUAGGUUGAUCUUUUAUUGAAAUUCAAGUUUCUUGACUUCAAAUUGAUGUGCAUUACAAUUACAAACAAAAAUAUACUAUUGCUGAUGGUACUUCAAACUGUGACAUUCAAAAUUCACAGCAAACAUUUAAAAAAUAUGUUGUAAUUAUGCUACACAUUGCUUCCUUAUCCUGCUCCUAUUGAUUGUUCUGGGUAAACAGAACCCUCUUUGCAUAGAGGGAGAAAACUUGGCUUCCAUUCAGCUCAGACCAAGUUUCUGCCAUUCCUAUGUUUGAAUUUUCCCCAGAUUGCUAUGCCCAUCCUUGAGAAGAAGCAAGCUUGGAUGCACUAUAAGAUUUAUUACGUGUUGUGGUUUAAUUUAAAUGAGUGGAUAAAACAACAGUUAUGUAUCUUUAUUGAACCUUUCAAAUUCAUGAGCCCACAGGGUCUCAUGUGCCUUAACAAUUAACUGAGACUCUCAUAGCCUCACAAUUGCUAAAUACAGGGGAAAUGCAGAAAACAACAAUUUCCUUGGUCAGUUGCCCUCUUGAGCCAGCCUGACCAUGAUUUCUGCUCCCCUUGACUUCCUUCACAUGCAUGCUUUUCUCUCUGAAGAUGUUAAUACCAUGAGGAGGAGCUUCUGUCAGCAUUAUUCAUACUCAUUUCAUAGAACUUUGAAAUUCCAAAAGAGAAGUAUACUGAUCCAGCAAUAACCAGCACUGACAUUUUUAUGUAUUAGCUUGUGAUUGAAAUUAGUAUUUUAUAAAAAUAUAAGUUGCAAUCUGCCGGAGUACGGCUGCAGCAAAAUAACUGGGGGGUGACGAACAACUUGUGUAGAUUGAUACAGCAGGAGUGGGAGCCGUUUAUUGCAGGACAGGAGCGGUAUUUAUACAUUCCACACAGCUUAUCUAAUUAGCAUAAACUAGAUACAUCAGUCAACCAAUAAGGAAUCUCCACACUUAAUGGCUUGCUGUUGUUACUUCACAAACCACUCCCUCUGGCAUUUUGCCAGGCGCCAUCCAGACUUGUUUACAGACUCUAACAUUUCUCUGGCAAAAUGCCAGGCGCCAUCCUGACUUGUUUACAGACUCUAACAGCAAUCAAUAAGGUAUAUCUACUCUUAAAAGAACAUAUAUUAUGUAGUUACAUGUUAUUAAAAAUUCAAUAAAAUAAUUUAGUAUCACAUGGAAAAUCCAAUUAUUUUGUCUUAUUAGUUUUUUUGUUUGCUGUUUUUUUAACAAUCUGUAGCACAUUCAUAAUUAUUUCAUUACCGUAAUACUAUUAAAAUUACCCAAGCUUUUAAAUAUUUAUUUGAGAAUAUAACAAUAAGCUUUAUGAAACAUUGCUAUUUCUUAUUCAAUAUAUUUCUAUCUAGUGGUUAAAUCAUCUUUAGUUGAGUGUUGCUGUCAUCUUUAUUUCUCAACCAAGGGCUCAAAGCACACAUUAACAUAACUUAAAUUGGACAUAACGGUAUAUUCUUGUUUGUUUUGAAAAUGAGUCCUGUGGUGUUUCCAGUUUGUUUCAGAGAUUUUUCAUUUUAAUAAAACAGCAUAUUUACAACUUAUUUUAUUAGUUGAAAAUAAAAGUUUUUUUCUAAUAUUUUUUGGUCAGAACUAGUAUAAUUACAAAGUACAAUUAAGCUAAAUGUCUAUUUGUUGGAUCUGACCAGGCUAAAUUGUACAAAGAGGUUUAAUAUUCAAGCCAAAAUCCUGAAGUCCUUCUAUUAGACUAAGUCACAUACAAGAAAAGUCAGGGUUUUAUUGUCAUGUUACCAUUCCAGAUUCUGUGACAUGUUAAUUUUUGAAAUCCAGUCUUAUAUCUCUCUUGAUAUCAUGUUUUAUGUAUGCUGUGGACCUUCAUGAGUAUUUAUUUACAAGAUAAUUUGUUAUUGUUGGUCUUUUGUUUCUAAUGAUUGAAUAUAUAGGAGGAAUUGGUUCACUUUUGCAGUAAAUGGCCAAAGUCUUUGUCUGGGCUGCUAUGACAAAGUACCAUCAACUAGGUAGUUUAUAAACAACAGAACGUUAUUACUUUAUGUUCUUUAGGGUGAGAAGUCAGGGAUCAGAUACAGUAGAUUUGGUGUCUGGCAGGGCUUCCUGUUUUUAUAGAAAGCUCAUCCUCCAUGAUGUAAGUAUUAGGGUUAGCUUCCUAAGGCACUAAUUUUAUUUAUGAGGGAUCUGCCCUCAUCACCUAGUUGCCUCCCAGAAGGCCCUGAUUUCUAAUGUCAUCACUGUGGGUUGUGAUUUCAACAUACCAAUACCAGGGAGAGACAAACAUCAGCCCACAGCAACCAGAUAGCAAAUGUCAUGGGAUCUGUGGACAGUAAGGUCUUUCCCAUAAACACUUGGCUCUGCCUUUGCAGUGGGAAGUGGUUCUUAACAGUCUGUAAAUUAAUGUGCUUGGCAAAUGCAAAACACACACUAAUGUAUGGAUCAGGGAGAGAAAAUGAUUCUAUAUAGAAAAUAGUUCUUAUAUAGAAACAUCUAAGAUUGGAAACAUUGGAAUCAAACACUUAUAAUGAAAGUAGCAUCAAAAGAUAGUAUUAAAAUAGUAGAGAUAUUUGCUUUUCUUUCUUCUGAACAUGAAAUUAUUGGAGAAUUUUCUGACUUUUGGACAAAUGAAUAGAAUACUUAAUUAUCCAAAUUCUCAGCUUAAGUGAUUAUGUCUAAAUUAGAGGACCAAUAAUUUUAUCUGUAUCACAUAAUUUAGAAGUGAUGAUCAUUGACAUCCUUCUCUCUAUCCCCUCAUAAUUUUGAUAGACAUUUAUAUCUGCCAGCAUAAUUUUAUUUCAAUUACUAACAAGGGUUUUGCCAAGUUUACUCAUUCUUUCAAAGAAGAGAAUAUAAUGAGACACCACUUGAAGACCCAUGUUAGAAAAAUAGAGAGGAAUAAUUAGAACAACUUCUAUUGCUAUUUCCAGGGGAAGAAAAGUCAAUGUUCUGAGGAUCCUUGCUACAUAACAUGAUGAGACUGCAGUGAUUUGUGGUAGGUUGAAAUUGAGAUAGCUUGAUUUGAGAACUCCUGAGUUCCAGAGAUUUGUAUAAAAAAUACAAUUUGGGAUGAAAACAAGCCUAUAUUAUUUAUGCUUAUUUAUAUUAGAUAUUUAACUUUGUUAUUUUCCUUAUUUAGUGAGCUCUAUUAUAAGAGUUGAUACAUUGUUUCAGACCCGGUAUUGUCUGUUGUUACUAGAAUCAGGACUGAGUUGUAAUUUUAAUUAUGUACCAUAUGCUCACACAUACAUGUUUAUACAUACACACACAGUCUUAAACAGUCUUAAAAACAUGGGAAAACUUUUUAAAAAUCUUUUAGAUUUUGUACCACUCAGCACAUAGGCAGUCACCACUCAGGACAUAAGCAAUCACAUAAGCUUAAAUGCAUGGAAACCCAGCCAGCACCACCCCCUGACUCAAUACACUGCUCAAGUUUAUGGAAUGGGACUUCAACACCUCCAGGGGCUUUAAAUAACAUCUUUUAUUUAAAGGGCCCUGCUAAAUUCAACACAGAGCACAGACACAGUCCAUCUGUAAUAACCAACAGUAGAUCGGAGAGGACAGGACAGAGAGAACUGUGUGUUUUAGCAAGAGAAUUAUGGACAGUUGCAUAGGCUGGUACACAGCUUUGUCCCCUUCCUGCUCAUGACUCUCUCCUUCUCAUUUUUAUAUAAAAUCCUUCUUACCUUCUUAUACUCUCAAACCCUGGGAGGCCUGGGACUUUUUUCCUUCUGUACUUAGCUGAUGAAUUUCACUCAGACCCACACAUAACAUUUUAAGUUAUGUAUUUCUGAUGUCCAGAUGUGUAGCUCCAGCUGGAUCUCUUCCUUGAAUUGCAGUUUUUUUCUCAACCGCCUAUUCCAGGGCUCCUGCUGAGUCAAUAAUGCUUUACAUAUCUCAAGCAGGGGCCACCAACCACCACUUUGCUCUCCCCUUUCCUUCCUCCUGGGCAGUAUAUAGUACCACCAUUUGCCCAGUUGUUCAGGAAAAAGCCAGGGCAUUAUCCCUGACUACUUUUCCUCUCUCCUCACAUUCAAUCCAUAAUCAAGUCUGCAAUCUUGUCCUUAAAGUCUUCAUCAUUAAUACUCAUAUUGAAAUAUAUAUAUAUAUAUAUAUAUAUAUAUAUAUAUAUAUACACACACACACACACAUAAACAAGACAUGUAUGCACACACAGACAUGUAUUCACGUACAUUUUGUGACUCAAUUUGUAUUUAUCUAUAUAUACAUAUCUACCCACAUACAUAAAAAUAACUAUACUUCUAUUUUGUCAUUUGAGAUUUUAUAUAUGUAUAUGCACACAUAUAGACAUAUAUACACAUAUUGUGACUUGAUCAAGAUUUUACGUAUAUGUACACACAUACAAACAUCCAAUAUACACAUAGAGUAGAAAUACAUAUACACAUGUGUAUUUUGUGACUUGAUAUUGUGUUGCAUGCUGAUUUUUUGCUUAAUAGUUUCUCAUCUAUGCUUCUAUUAAAUCCAAGAUGAUGAGUAUUGUAUUUGUUUGUUGCUGAAAGUUUAAGAAUAACUGGUAUUUAAAAAGUUAAGGGCUGCAGCAUAAGUCCUAGGUUUGGCAUCUGCCGAUACAUAGGGAGAUAACAAAUUCUACCUUUCUGCUCAUUUUUUCUCAUCUUUCUCAUUUCUUCUAGUACCAGAAAUUCUGAGAUUUGAAGCACAGAGUAAAUGAGGCAUUUCUAUUUACAAAUGAGUAAAGUGCUGCUUCAGAUUGCACACUAAGCACUUGGGUAAACAAACAACCAUGUCGCUGUGCUUUCUACUAUGCCCUUCCUCAACUUGACCAAUAGUGAUAUAUAAGAAUGUUGGGAAGAACUUAGGGUCUUGAUCUUAUUCUUUGGAAUUUAGGUAAAGAGAAUCUUUUGGUCAAUUACUAAUACAGUAGUAGUCUAUGACUAUACUCAGGUUAUUUAAAUUUCAAGUAAUUUCUGUAGCAGCUUGGAUUGUAACUGAAGGUCAACCUGGGAUUUAACAUGAGGAAAAACUGGUGGUAUCAUGAUGUUAGAGGCCUCUGAGCCCCUAGACAUGGUAUUUAUGCUUAAUAUUCAUAGCAACACUUGGUUUUAUGGAAAACAGGACAGUUUUAUUUUCUAUUUGCAAAUGAGUAAAGUGUUGCUUCAGAUUGAAGAGUAAGCACUUGGGUAGAAAAACAACCAUGUCCCUGUGAUUUCUACUCUGCCCUUCCUCAACUUGACCAAAAUUCAGCAUGUGGACCAAAUGUAGCACCUGUUUAUUUAGCAUGAUAGAGCCUGCUGUUAAGCCAUGCAUUUAAUUCAUAUAGUAAUCCAGAUGGAUCUAAAUUAAGUUCCCAAAUUUCUCCAGCAGAGAACAUUCUUUGGUAUCCUUUGCUUAUAUAUUCCCAUGUUUCAGGUUUUACUUGAGGUAUUUUCUGUAGUGAAUAAAGAAAAGAGACCCCCUAUGCACCUACAUUUUCUACUAAAAGUGGUCCCAUUAGGACGUCGCCUGUGUACCAAGGUCAGCCUUCACUGGAUUCUUUAGAAAAGACUUCAUUGCUAACCCUGAAAUCACAAAAUAUUUAUAGUAUGCCACUUAGCUGGCUUUAAAUGUUUCUUCCACACUCAUUGCCUCAGGGUUUGUUCUCCUUACUCCAUUAUAAAACUUGAGUCUUCCUGAGAGAGAGCAGGUAAGGCAAGGGCCUGUGUGGUGCUUGAGAAGAAAAUCUGACAUCAUUUACUGUUUUCCUACAGUGGUUCUCAAUGGGCCCUUUUGGUUGAGGGUCUCCACUGCUCUUUGUUCUGAAAGGCUGGUAGUUGGCAUUGUAGUUUUUUGGUUUUUUUUUUUUUAAUACUAUAUACUGUUUCCUCAUGUUCCCGAAAGGAAAUAUGUUUAAUUGCUCUCAAGUAAGUGAAUCACAGACAAAUCAAUACCCUCAAGAAUAAGACCAAGUGAUCAGCACAUAUAGAAAAAAAUAUGUCCAUCUGAUUUCCAGUUCAGGUAUCUCUUAAAGUUAGUUAACAGGGGCUAUCUUACUCCUCACAUCUCUGAAUUUGUACCUUUUGUUAUCCUUCACUCACUAGAUAUGUCUAGAUCAUUGGAAUCAUUUUAUUCCUUGUGGGUCUUUCAAAUAGUUUAGUUUGACUUUGAUCACUGAAAAAGCUGAAAAACACUAAUUUAAGACACUUGGUAAUGACACCUAAUUUGUAUGCAUAGCCCUAAGACUCAUGUGCCUGGAUGUACAGGGUGUAAACUGGGUGUCCACACAUAUGUUCCAUGCCUCAUUGUUGCCUCCACUUGGGAAAAUAUGGUGAUUUGCCCAGUUGAAAAGUCUUCAACAACUAUUGCUCAGAAUGUAAGUGACAGGUCUUUGAG